This 4706-nucleotide long non-coding RNA is filed under the name Gallus gallus (chicken). The record is from RNAcentral. Lineage: Eukaryota; Metazoa; Chordata; Aves; Galliformes; Phasianidae.
GGCGGUCAAAAAGGUCAUCCUCAGGCUGUUUGUUCUCCAUGAACAGCUGAAGAUUCUUAAAAACCCUCUUCUCAACAGGGACUUUGUUGUAGUAUCGGAUGGAGUCCUUCCCGAGGAAGUCAAACUCAACCACGUAUUCCUGGCCAUCCAGCUCAGGAUGCAGCUUGAUAUGUUCUACUCUCAGAGAGCAGCAGCCCACGGUGUCAGCUGUCUCCCCUUCUUCUUUUUCAUUACCAGCUCUCAGGGCAAGCUUAUCAAUGAAGUACAGUGCCACAGCCCUCUGCCGUACUUUCAUCUCUUUGGAUUUCCAAUCUUCUCUGUAUUGAUUUCGGAUUUUAUCUACGCACUUCUUCAACCUCCGGGCUGUCUCAUACUUUUGCCAGUCCUUCUCACCCUUAAUUCUUGAGCUAGGGUUCAACAUUAUGUAUUUGAUAGAGCCUUGGAUGUUCUCUGUCCAUGACACUAGCCAGGUAACCUUGUUAUCAUGCCGGACCUCCUUCCAUUUGUGUCCUGGUGGAGGGGGAGGGACCUUGGAAUCCUUGCUGCAGUUAAUGAUGAUGUCUUCUGGCAUGAUGCGUCUCUUCAACAUGCCCAUUUUGGGAUGGUUCCCCCGGCCUCGGAAGAGACCCGGAGGUUCGAUCUUAAAGUUAGCAAUCCUCUCUUUGUGGUUGUCCAUCACACAGUAACCAUAUUCCUUCAAUAGCCGCUCAUUCUCCUCUUUGAUUUUCUGUUUCUCCUCCUUGGACAUCUGUUUCCUAGCUUCCGUCUGAGCUUUGAAAUACUGGCUCAUGUGGGUGAAGUCACACUUGCUGAGGCUGGUGAUUGUGCUCUUCUCUUCAGAGGUCAUUUCCUUUCUCCAGUCCUUAAAAAAGUUUUUCCUGAAGAUCUCCUUCGUAGUGUAUUCAUGGUCGAGCAUUUUUGCAAAGAACGUGGCAACUUCUUCUGCUUUGGUGCUCAGCUUCAUGACUUUACCAUCGUAGUAAAACUUGACAUUUUCAGGCAGUGGUUCAUAUGGUGGAGCAAAUACAGGACCUUUAUGCUCUAGGAACUUCCAUUUAAUUCCUUCAGGGUAGCGUUCUUCUUCCCACCAUUUCCAUUUCUGCUCCUCUUCUUUUUUAGGCUUCUUUCUUUUGUCUGCUUCAGGGCUUUUCUUAUCUUUGUUCUUAGCUUUCUUUGCUUUGCUGUCCUCUUCUUCUUCUUGUUUCCUUUUCUUUGCUUUCUUUACGUCUUCUGUUUUGAUUUUCUUGGGUUUGUAGUCAGCGUCAUCGUCUUCUCGAGGCCUCUUCAGCGGUUUGGAGUCCUCUUUAGGAGAAGCAUAAAACCCGUCAUCAUCUGGUUCAUCUUUAAUACGUGGUGGACUGGAGAAACCAUUUUCCUUUUCCUUCUUUAUUUUUAUAUCACCAGAAGAUAAUUUAAUCUUUUCUUCCUUUCUCUUCUCCUUGUCUUUGUCUUUGUGUUUGUCUUUGUGUUUCUCUGAGCUGCCAUCUUUGUGUUUGGUUUUCUCCUUGUCUUUAUGUUUCUUUUCCGAAGAGUCUUUGUGCUCGCUAUUACUGUGCUUGGACUUUUCCCGGUCUUUUUCCUUGUCCUUCUUGUGCUCUUUGUGCCGGUGUUCUCGGUCUUUGUGUUUAUCUUUGUGUUUGUGAGAAUCGUUGGCUCGGAAAUCCGCCUCGAUCUGCGGGGAGAGGAGACAGGGAGAGGCCGUGAGAAACGCCGAAGACGGAGGGGGGGGCCGCGUGCGUUUAGCGAUGUACCCGCGGAAGGGGCGGCGGGCCCGGAGCCCCCCUUCUCUUUUUGUUUUUUAUUUAUUUUUUUUUCUUUUUUUCCUCUCUCCCAGGAAAAUGAAACACCGAAGGAGAGGCAGCGGCACGAUGCGGAACGCAGCCCCGGGGGGGGGGUUGGGGGGGUGUUCAGGCCGCCGUACAGCCGGGCGGGGGGGCAAAGCAGAAAGAACCGGCAACCCCCCCUCAGGGAACCUCACCCCCCCAUCCGAGCGGCACCGACCGGCACCGGGGGCAGCGGGUCCCAGCGGGUCCGGGCGGCCACGCCGGGCUGACAGGGAUCCCCCACCCGUGCGCGGCCCCCCCCGGCGGGAGCUGAGGUGAAGCGCCUCCUCAGGGCCCACCGCGACGGGAAGGGACGAAGGGCCCCGCGCCGGGCUCCCCCGGGACUCACCUGGGAGUCGUUGUGCAGCUGGUCCCCGCUCAUGCCGGAGGGUGCGGGAGAGGCCGAGCCGAGCGGAGCGAAGCGGGAGGAGAGCGAAGCGGAGAGGAGCAAAACUGAGCUGAAGCCGCCGGGGACGCGCGGAGCGGGGACGCGACGCAGAGCGCAGCCCCGGGCUCCUCAGCGGUUGUGUAACAGACACUAAGUCCUGGUUUCGGCGCACUGCGCAGACGCGGUGCCUCUUACCCGCGGGGCGGAGCCAAGGCACUGCUAAGCGGAACGCUGGGACGGGCGCCGGGAAACGGCAGUUGGAAUAUUUGCAUAGAAGCCCCGCCCCGGCGCCCCGAUUUAUUUGCAUACAGGCCACGCCCCCCACCCGGCCACUCCUCCGAACGCAGCCGACUCGCCGGCUGCCACCCGCGCGCUCGUAAAACACACGUAGUCCCGCCUCUUCCUCCCUGUCCUCCAAUCGCGCGAAACGACCUUACCCUUCAUUUGCAUACUUAACUCCGCCCCGGCGCUCCCUUCCCCGCCUCGGAAGGAGCCCGGAGCAUUGUGUAAGAAGCCGUCCCCCACUGUGCGCGGAGUCCGCAUGCGCCCCACCACACCCUGCCGGCGGCCGACUAAAUUUGCAUGGCGAGCCCCGCCUCCCCGCCCUCAGGCCACGCCCCCGUCCUGUCAGGGGAGCAUGGCGGCGCCCAGGCGGCGGGGUGUCCUCUUCUCAGAGCCCUUCGGAACUGGCACAGUGCGGUCGCACUGUGGGGGCUUCACGGGAGCUGCUGCUGUACAGGCAGGCAGCUGGAUUUCCUUGGCUGCCGCUGGGGCCUAGCAGGUCUUUCCCAGCCUAGGCAAGCGUGGUUGAGCUGUGGAGCAGGGGGCACACGAGGAGCGGUGCAGGUGCUGGGGGUCGAUUCGGCCUCCUCACAUCCCCUGUGGUGCUGUGGUGCUGGGAAGUGGUUAGGGCCGUGUUUCUGCCAGCCUAGUCAGUGCAGCGCAGCCCAGGCUGGGCUACCCCCUUGUAGUUCAUCUCCCCUCAGGGCACACCGCUGUGCUCUGAGCGGCUGCUCCCUUACAUGGGCUCUCUGCGGGAGGAUCUUGAACUGCGCUGAGCCACGCUCCCACAGACCCCUCACAAACGCUCUGAGGCACAGUCUGAUUUUAAGUGUCUCGAAACGCUGCUGCUGCCGGAUCCCUUGGGCAGGAAAUGAGCCGUGCUCGCUGCGCACAGCUGGCCUGCAGGGAGCCUGAGCGUGCGACCCACCUUCCGCUGCUUGUCUGUGCGAUCGUGUCGGGCUGGAAUGCAGAGGCUGCAGCAACCCUGCAGAGACUGCACUGUGCGAAGUGCUGUACACAUGCCCUGCAUCCACAGGCAGCUGGCGCUGAGGGGGAUGCAGAUCAGAUGGAUUUGGGCCGACGUGAAAGUCAAGGACAGCAAGGCUGCACUGCAUAUGAGAGCUUUCUGCUUUAAAAAGGGGGAUCAGCCAUUGCGGUUCUUCUUCCAGUGUAAACAGGCCUUUUAUUUUUCUCUCAUGAGGAAAUGGAAACUAAAAAGGAAACAAAAGCUGUAUCUUCUUUCAGCUAAUGUGAGGAUGAAUCACACGCCUUCCUAUGAGAGCAAUCCCCUGCCCCAACCUGAAUCUGAAGGCAUCUGCUUCUGUUCUGCAGCAGCCCUGCUGAACUGAGAUCCUUUUCGAUGCACUAAAUGGCAGCUUUAGUAUGCGUGGCUGGUGCGUGUCUCACAGGACUGCUUCCAAUCUUCUUGCAGCUACCAUCCUGUGCUGCAACACAGACUGUACCUUUCCUCAGCUUCUUUACACAUCCUGAGCUUUGAUUUGAUGCUAAAAUAAUCCAGCUCUGCCAGGCUAUCUGAAGAGAUGCAUCAACACGUAAGCAGAGACAGCAGCCACCUAUUUGCACUGCAUAUUUAUAUCCCGUAGAGGGAAAACUCUGUCGCUUUCUUGCAGUCUUCAGAAGAGGAUCUGAGGACUUCCUUUUAUACUGAGAGCAGGCAAAUAUUUCUGUAUUUAGAUGCGUUUAUUAUGCAAAGUGCUUCAGUCACUGUUAGGUCUUUAAAUAUAAAUGUAAUGGAAAGGCUGUUUCAGACACCUCUCCUGUUGGAAGAGGUGUUUGCCCCUAGCUCACAGGAAUAAGGUGACACACAGAGGUAUAGGGGCUGUAUCUUGUGAUGUGUGACAGCCUGAGAACAGCCUCACACCUCCCGCUUUGGGCAUUAAAAGGUCCUAAAAGCCUUAAGCAACAGUUUUGUGUUAAAGCUUAAAUAUCCCCAGGGCCCCAAAGAAACCUUGCUCAGGUGGCCUUGCAUGAAAAGGAGCUGCUGCAACACCCACCGUGCUGCAGCAAGCUGUGAUCGGAGGAAAGGACCACUCCUCUGUAGCAUCUGCCAUCUUCAGGGGCUUUUGCAGGCACACUUCUGGGUGCAAAAGGGAGUCUCCAAACUGGCACAAGAGGCUCAGCACUGUGCUCUGCAAGACUCUGCUGACAGCCAGCCAGAUGAGCUCUGAAUGUAAAGGGAGCUGCCCAGUUUC